RNAcentral lists this transfer RNA (82 nucleotides) under Blakeslea trispora. RNAcentral's name for it is "tRNA-Leu". It matches the Rfam family "tRNA". From Rfam's summary of the family: Transfer RNA (tRNA) molecules are approximately 80 nucleotides in length. Their secondary structure includes four short double-helical elements and three loops (D, anti-codon, and T loops). The record is from RNAcentral. Lineage: Eukaryota; Fungi; Mucoromycota; Mucoromycetes; Mucorales; Choanephoraceae. RNAcentral also lists the same sequence under 2 other names.
AGUGCAAUGACGGAGUGGUCUAACGUGCCAGGUUUAGGCCCUGGUCUCUUCGGAGGCGUGAGUUCGAACCUCACUUGCACUA